RNAcentral lists this ribosomal RNA (425 nucleotides) under uncultured prokaryote. RNAcentral's name for it is "bacterial SSU rRNA". It matches the Rfam family "Bacterial small subunit ribosomal RNA", at positions 355 to 774 of the family's 1533-position model. The record is from RNAcentral.
UAACGAAUAUUGGGCGAUGGGCGAAAGCCUGACCCAGCAAUGCCGCGUGCAGGACGAAGUCCUUCGGGAUGUAAACUGCUGCCAGGGGUCCGCAAGCGAAGGGGUCCAACAGGCCCUGGAGUUGAGCAGCCCCAGAGGAAGCCUCGACUAACUCUGUGCCAGCAGUCGCGGUAAGACGUAGGGUGCGAGCGUUAAUCGGAAUUACUGGGCGUAAAGCGUGCGCAGGCGGUUAUAUAAGACAGAUGUGAAAUCCCCGGGCUCAACCUGGGAACUGCGUUUGUGACUGUAUGACUAGAGUACGGCAGAGGGAGGUGGAAUUCCGCGUGUAGCAGUGAAAUGCGUAGAUAUGCGGAGGAACACCGAUGGCGAAGGCAGCCUCCUGGGCCAGUACUGACGCUCAUGCACGAAGGCGUGGGGAGCAAACA